Non-coding RNA from Schizosaccharomyces pombe (fission yeast), 251 nucleotides. NCBI's taxonomy places the organism in Eukaryota, Fungi, Ascomycota, Schizosaccharomycetes, Schizosaccharomycetales, Schizosaccharomycetaceae. The record is from the annotation of a GenBank genome assembly.
AACAGAACGAACGCCAGACAAAGCAGACUCGAGGAUCCCCUUGAAUUUUGAAGAAACGCCAUAGCUUUGGUCUAGUUGAAUACUCUUUUCCAAAGUUACAUCGCUCAAAUGAUAUCCGCGACUUAAAAGUUCAGAGAUUAUAGCUGAACGAGGCUUGUCUUCUUGACGAGCGGCUUGAUCGCCUCCAGCACCUCCUUGAUCGGUAGUAGAAGCAGCACCACCAUCUUCACUGGUGAUUUGGAUUUUGUUUU